Long non-coding RNA from Brassica rapa (field mustard), 5095 nucleotides. RefSeq lists it as uncharacterized. NCBI's taxonomy places the organism in Eukaryota, Viridiplantae, Streptophyta, Magnoliopsida, Brassicales, Brassicaceae. The record is from RefSeq and is a predicted model, not a curated record.
GUAUUAUAGAGAAUGGUGAUUCAUGUAUGCAAUGAAGCCAUGUAGUAGUUUGAGCCAUCCUAUCUCCUAUCUGCUUUCCAUCUUGUUGACUCUAUAUGCAAUUAUUAUAGGAAUCACUACACCAGAACUUCCAAGAUUUGUCAUGUCCGAGUUUUGUCAUCUGCAAUUCAAUCAUCAUUCAUGAAUUUUAAUUUCAUGCAAACUAAUUGUGAACCAUCACUAUAGGAACCAUCAUUAGGUUAGAUUUUUCAAUUACAAGAAGGAUUUAGUCUCCAAGGAAGUCACCGAGAAAUCUCACUGGCUAAUAUCGAACUCUAUAGUAUGAUAUGGGUGCUCAUGUGCCUAAAAUAUAUCAUUGGUUUUGUAAUUCAUUUAUCACUGAUUCACAUGAGUUAGUCUAUAGCUAGCAGGUUAGAUUACUAAUAAAAGCUUCUCUUUCCAUGCACAUGUUGAAAGAUGUACUUGGUACUAUUAAUUUUAUGUAAUAGGUAGGGUUAACAAAUAAGUUCGUUAUAUAAAUCCUAAUCCGUUUAAAUAGUUAAUUUUCUUGAUCACAAUAUUUAAAAAGAUUGAUAUAGCCAUUUUUAAUUUAAUUUUCCUUUUAAUAUUUUUACCAAUAUGUAUCCCAUAAAACAACCUAUAACCCUAUAUAUCCUCUUGGAAAUUAUUGUCUUGUAUCUAGGGUAUUUCGAGCUGCCCCUCUACACCUGUACACAGUACGAUCUUUUUUUAUGUUCACACAGUACGAUCUUAAUUUCUCUCUUUACUAUAUCCAGUGUGUGUCAAAUACGGUUAUUCGAUUAAAUUUUCUGGUUAAUCACUUUGAACACCUUGUUAAUUUUUCUACAAUUGUUCUUAAGUCCUAGUUGGGAUGAUUUUAAGUUUGAUUCUUUGAUGUGUUAAAAAAAAAGUUUGAUUCUUUGGAUAUAUAUAGAUUUUUAAUUUCUUUCUAGGAGCUUGCAUGAUUGAUAUAUGUUUUCCACUUUUCCAGUGUUGUAAAAAUAAUGAUAUCCCAAUGUUGGACAACAUCGUAUGAUCUAUUGUUGCUGCUAAAGCUGUUUUAUCUUUUGUUUAUCUCUUCUCUGGGCAAUAAUGAAGACUCUUUUUCUCGAAAGAUGGUUACACCAAAGCUAACGUAUGCACUUGAGUACGUCAAGACUGUGAAGGAUAAAUUCAAAGAUACACGUCAAAAAUUUGAUGAGUUUCUUGAAGUCAUUGUAGAUUUCAGAGCUGAGAAGUAUAGCUUCUUGUUCCUUGUGAAUGCUAGAUUGUGCACCUUCUUUAGUUCAAUUUCUGUCUACACAAUUACUCUUUAUGAUAUCUGAUAGUAUAUAUUUUAUGGUAGAAUUGAUACUUACGGUGUCAUAUUAAAAGUGAAAGAACUCUUCAAGGACCAACAAGAGCUGCUUUUAGGUUUCGAUUCAUUCUUGCCAGAGGGUUGGAAAAUAACCCUCGGGGUUGACCAAACUCCACCAAAAGAGCCGGUCACGUUCGAGGAAGCUGUUAUUUUUGUCAAAAAUGUCAAGGUAGAGAUUUUAAUAAGGUGUAACUAAGCCAAACUAUAAUUAAUAUUCUCUUUUUCCUAUUUGCUACUUGCAUCUAAAGUAUCAUUUUUGCUUUUUCUGCAGGCAAGGUUUCAGGAUAAUGAUCGACCAUACAGAUCUUUUUUAGACAGUUUGAAUAUGUACAGGAAUAACAACAGGUCCCUUACUGAGGUCCUCGAGGAGUUGGCUUUUCUUUUCCGGGACCAUUACGAUUUGUUUGUUGAGUUCACAAGGUUUACCCGUCAGUAGUUUUGGACUACCGUUUAUCUAAUUAUUGAACAAUAACAGGACAAUUAAAAAGAAAUAGCAAAGUACUUAAUCCAAAUACGUUCGGUUUGGUUUGAUGUGCCGUUAUUAUGAUAUAUUGACGUUUAACUUGGUUGAUCCAUUACCUAUAUAUAUGUGCGCAUCAGUAUAUAUGCUUACUUUUCUCUCAGUUAUUCUAUAACCAAAAACCCAUUACGUGUUUGGGCGGUCUAACUAUAUAUUACGUAGCUGCAAAAGGAACAUAUCAUUUCUUCAUACCUGCACUCAGACCACGAGAGAUCCUUGAUGAAAGAAAAUACAGACAAAUGAAGACUAGCUAUAGUGACAAAAAAGAUAACAGAAAAACAAGUUUUAACAAGGAGAGGUUUGGAGUUAUUUUAAAAUAAAAAGGUAACAGGAAAAAUAAAUUUCGUGUUUUUAAAAUUUGAGAACUUUACAUGAGAUGCUACUUUUCAUUGGAAGUGAUUCGGAUUUAAAAUACUAUCUAGGAUUUCCUCUUCAAGGAAGAAAAAUUACAAAGUCUCGAUUGCUUAUUCAAUCUUGCUGUGUUUACACUGUCCGUCCAGUAAAGAGCCCAACUCCAUUGUAUUGUAAACUAAAAGCCGAUGGAUUAGGGCUUUUGAAAGUAUAUCAUGGGCCGUUAAACAAGGAAAAAAGUAACAUGAAAGAAUGAACGCUCUCAAUUACAAAAUCAAAGGGGCGUUCCGAGAAUUGAACUCGGGACCUCUCGCACCCUAAGCGAGAAUCAUACCACUAGACCAAACGCCCAAUUUGCAAGAAAAUAUCACUUAUAAUUUAAAAUAGUAAGACUGAACAAUCAUCAAAUAAACAAAUUAAUCUUUUUAGCAAAUCUAACCUAUACUAAAAGGGUUAUAUGAGGAGUAGGGAAGCUGUCCACGUCAGCCAAUUAAAUCAUCCAAUCACAGAUAGCAUUUUGACCACGUCAUUGAGGCAAUCUCGAGACUGAUUAAUAGUGGGCUUAUUUGUGUGGGUUUAAUUUAUUUUCCCAUGGCCCCAAAUUUCUCACAUUUAGCAAAAACCUAAUCUUCCUCCCAACUGAUUAAUCGUCUCCGGCCUUUCCUCUCCGUCGUUGUCGUUUCACUUCUGAGUCAUUUAACAUUUUCUUUACUCUCUCUUCUUUUAUGGUUUCGUUCCAACUCCCUACGUUUCUCCUCCUAUAUAAAGUCUUUUGUAUCAACCAAAAACCUACAGCCUCACGGAAAAAGACAAAACUACUGCUGCUAAAUCCACCAGACACUCUCCCGUCUACAGCUGUGCAGCCGAGGAGGUUUCAAGCAGUGGUUCCAUGGUCGGUGCUUUAGUGGCUACCUCCGACUGGUUUACUGAUGGCAGCCAGGGUUUGCAAACAAUGACAGAGACAGAGGAAGAUGUGGAAACCUGCGGAGGAGUAGGGUUCCGAACGGAGCUCAAAGUAUUCAUAUCAGCUUCCUAAGGUAUGGAUUUUAAAGUCUGUAAUAAAUUUGAAACUUCUUGCUACGGUUCAAGGUGUUGUUGUCUACCUUAUGCAGCAGGACAACGUCAAACGUUUUCCUUCCUUUGACCAUUCUAAUUAUAGCAUAUCUUCAGGUCGAUUAAGGACUAGAUUCACUAUAUCAUUGUUUGAGAAUGAGAUCAUUAACCUAAACUUUCAGGUUUAUAAUAUGUUCAAGCUCUGAUUACUUGCAGCUCUUCUAAUUCAUUGUUUAUUCUGCUUAAAUGCAUAUGCAACAACCGGAAUCAUGUGUAUAUGUUAUGUUUUGCAUGUAUUAGCUUUCGAAAAAGACUUUGCAAGUAGAGAUGUUGAAGCUUUUGCAUCUGUUGAUAAAUUCAUCGAAACCAGUGGUGGAGAUUCUGCUGAUAACAUCAGUUGGAUUUUAUAUGGCUUUUGAUGGAGUCAAUCUUCUUGGUCAUGAUACUUAAGAAAUAUUUGAACAGCGUUGGUUAUUACUUAAUUAACUCUUUCUAUUUAUAAAUCUAAUAUACAACUCAACCUUAAUUUUUUUUUUAUGUAUAGAUUGUCUUCUAUGUGUUUAGUCCUUCGCUAUUGGAAACCGUUUAGCUGGUAGCGUAACAUAUGAAAGCUUGGUGAACAUCUGGGUUGUAUUCUCAUCACUAAGCCUUCUUCGCCUAGAUCUUCGUGGUCUCAUUGUUGGUUGAUGUGCGGCUGGGAAUCUGGGAAUAUACCAUCAAUCAUAAUCCCAACUGUUUAUAAAGACAAAGGAGAGGUCUAUUUGAAGAUCCUGAGAAUUGCCACAAAUAUGGAAUGGGUUAUGUUGCACUCUCCAUGGCCGUAAGUAGUCAUCUCACUUCUUCAAAGUUUUAUCGGUGUAUAUUUUAUUUUUGGCAUCAGCCACCAGCUAUACAUAUAUCAUACAGCUAUACAAUGAAGAAAUAAUAAUUUUCAAUUUAUAUAUUUUGUUUUCAAAAAGAAUUAUAACAAUCUUAGUUGUAACAGAUGUAGCUGAGAUUUUGUAACAUACACACAAUUCCCAAAAAUCACCAAGAACCCUUAUUGUUGCACACCUGAAAGAAUAGUUGAUCACGAGUAUGUUUCAAUGAAAAUCAUAAAUCUUCUUUCUGUAAAAAGAAAUAAAAACCCUUUGAAGACUGUUUACGAAGUUGCAGUCGAGUGCUUUGGUUUGGAGAUUUGAAUUACAGAGUUUCUUUAUCCUAUUAAGAGAUGAGUAUUUCUAGAGACAAUGAUUGUGACACACUACUUGAGAAAGACCAGGUUUUGUAGUAGAAAUUAUCUUUAAAACUCAAAUCUUUAUUGAAGACCAAGAUGAGUGUUUCUCUCGAAACUCAGAUUCUCACGCCGGAGAAGCCACUAAGUCUAAAGAAAAACUAUGUACUCAUGCUUGGUUGGUACUAUCCAAAACUCUAGAAACACGUUUUUGUGGUGUGUUUGGAAUGUUUUCAGGUUUGAUCUGAUUCCAUGAGGAGGAGAAGGAAUAGAACUUUCUUAUACUCUAGGAGAAUCACGGUUUUCAGAUCACAGACCGGUUUGUGCAAAUAUUUGCAGGAGAAGUUGUUGUGAAGAGUCUGAGAAACAUAGAUAAUGUUAUUCAUGUGCGGCUGCAAGAUUGGUUGAGGAUUGCACUCCAAACUCAUAGUUUUAACUAAGAUUAUUAUAGUUCUUUUUGAGAACAAAAUAUAUGAUUUUUAAUAGUAAUUUUUCCUCAUUGUGUGUAUGGUUAAUUUUUGGCAUCAGCCGUCAUGAUACAUAUAUGUACUUCAAUGUUAUCAGAUGAGAUCUGUUUGCAUAUGAAGUUAUUGACACUCAA